AACGUAGGAGACAAACGUUAUCCGGAGUUACUGGGCGUAAAGGGCGUGUAGGUGGUUUCGUAAGUCUGGCGUGAAAUUUCUCGGCUUAACCGAGGCAGGUCGUCGGAUACUGCGAGGCUAGAGGACGGUAGAGGCGUGUGGAAUUCCGGGUGUAGUGGUGAAAUGCGUAGAUAUCGGGAGGAGCACCAGUGGCGAAGGCGACUUCCUGGCCUGUUCUUGACGCUGAGGCGCGAAAGCUAGGGGAGCAAACGGG
Molecule: ribosomal RNA, 253 nt
Filed under: uncultured bacterium
Lineage: Bacteria
Description: partial 16S ribosomal RNA
Rfam family: Bacterial small subunit ribosomal RNA
Source: RNAcentral